GCCCGGUUAGCUCAAUCGGUAGAGCGUGAGACUCUUACCUCGUGAGGAAAUAGUCAUCUCAAGGUUGCGGGUUCGACCCCCGCAUCGGGCU
Serendipita sp. 399 is the source of this 91-nucleotide non-coding RNA. The record is from the annotation of a GenBank genome assembly. NCBI's taxonomy places the organism in Eukaryota, Fungi, Basidiomycota, Agaricomycetes, Sebacinales, Serendipitaceae.